CAUUGAUGGACAUUAAGGAGAGCCGAUAUCCUGCUGCAGAGCUCAUUGGCCAGGCCACUGCUAACAUAACACCACUAGGUGUGACUCCCGAGAUCAUCAGAGUGACAACCGUGUCUCCUUUUUAUCAUUUGGCCAAGAAAUUUUUAAAGCUUCAUGCGAGUGUUUUCUGCCGCUUCUGGAA
Lontra canadensis (Northern American river otter) is the source of this 181-nucleotide long non-coding RNA. RefSeq lists it as uncharacterized. Lineage: Eukaryota; Metazoa; Chordata; Mammalia; Carnivora; Mustelidae. The transcript has 3 exons. The record is from RefSeq and is a predicted model, not a curated record.